Molecule: ribosomal RNA, 381 nt
Filed under: Triticum aestivum (bread wheat)
Lineage: Eukaryota; Viridiplantae; Streptophyta; Magnoliopsida; Poales; Poaceae
Description: partial small subunit ribosomal RNA
Source: RNAcentral
AUGGUAACCUCAUCUUGGUAUCGUGAUACACCAUCAUUAUACACUCUUGCCAUUACAUUGAUAACCACCAUAGCCCAUGAUGAGGACAUCAAUACAAUUAUUACACCCACAGUCCCUGCUGCUAUACAUACUGGACCAAUUACUAGAGCUCGCGCACGCCAAUUAAAUUACCAGGUACUUUCGUUUCUUGCUAAUGAUUCUAAUGUUCAUGAGAAUAUGAUGCUGCCUAAAUUGGAUACAUUUGUUUUGCUUACAAAUGAAGGGCCUAGCUUUGAGAAGGAUGAACAUUGGAGCAAGAACAAGCAUGGAGAUGAUGGCAUGCGCAUGGGGAACAAGAACGGAGUUACAAGUGAUGAUUUCAGGACGUUGAAGCCACCAUAA